Molecule: long non-coding RNA, 790 nt
Organism: Prosopis cineraria
Lineage: Eukaryota; Viridiplantae; Streptophyta; Magnoliopsida; Fabales; Fabaceae
Exons: 4
Source: RefSeq, a predicted model, not a curated record
CAAAGGCAGGAGGUGCAGGGAUGCUGUCCAACAAGCGACUGGCCCUUUUUGUCAAUGGAUUCAUAUCUCCUACCCCUACCAAACAAAGAGAUCGACAAAAAGUCCAUUCCUGAUGUUAGUAUAGAGUGCAAGAUAACACUUUAGUGAGGACCUGGGGUAGCAUUAGACCUUAAUUUUGGGUGCAGUAUCAAGUCGGGCUACUCAGGCAUAAAAAGGAGAAGAAAAUGAAGAGUUGGUAUCGCUGUGCCACACGUUGCAGAGUAGAGAACAUCUAUCACAGUGCACAGAUACUUCAGAUGCAAAAUGAGGACCUCUCUGUGCCAUACACUAUGGCGUAUUGUGCAUACAUAGUCAUUUUUUGCAAUUUAUCAAUCGUAAAAUUGAGACAGAAAUAAAGAGAAAAAAGGAGAAAACAGAAGAAGUGUACCAAGCUCUACUAGCAUUUGUUCUUAAACAACAUUGGAUGUAUUUUAAAAGUUACAAACACCCAAGGCUCUAGCUCUAGUGCAAAGAGGGAGAAGGCUUAAGGCUAGGAAUUAGUAUAUUCUUAUUAUAUGCCUCUAGUUUAGAUUUAUUUUGUGUAAUAGUAUAUGAUUAUUAAUUUUAAAAUUGCAUUCCAUUGUACUUACACUAUUUUGGUUGUUGUAAAUGUCCAAGUUGCAUUUUAGGCUCUAACUAUUUGUGUAUAAUGAUAUAUAUAUGUUGGUAGGGCCAAAACACUAGUGUAAGUAUAGGAGUGAUGUUUUAUACAUAUUAAAACGAUUUUUGAUACAAUGUAAUGGUAAUUGCU